RNAcentral lists this ribosomal RNA (253 nucleotides) under uncultured bacterium. RNAcentral describes it as "partial 16S ribosomal RNA". It matches the Rfam family "Bacterial small subunit ribosomal RNA", at positions 524 to 776 of the family's 1533-position model. The record is from RNAcentral.
UACGUAGGGCGCAAGCGUUAUCCGGAAUUAUUGGGCGUAAAGAGCUCGUAGGCGGUUUGUCGCGUCUGCCGUGAAAGUCCGGGGCUCAACUCCGGAUCUGCGGUGGGUACGGGCAGACUAGAGUGAUGUAGGGGAGACUGGAAUUCCUGGUGUAGCGGUGAAAUGCGCAGAUAUCAGGAGGAACACCGAUGGCGAAGGCAGGUCUCUGGGCAGUGACUGACGCUGAGACGCGAAAGCGUGGGGAGCAAACAGG